Molecule: ribosomal RNA, 450 nt
Filed under: uncultured bacterium
Lineage: Bacteria
Description: partial 16S ribosomal RNA
Rfam family: Bacterial small subunit ribosomal RNA
Source: RNAcentral
GUGGGGAAUCUUCCGCAAUGGACGAAAGUCUGACGGAGCAACGCCGCGUGAGUGAUGAAGGUCUUCGGAUUGUAAAGCUCUGUUAAUCGGGACGAAAGAGCCUAGUGUGAAUAAUGCUAGGAAGUGACGGUACCGGAAUAGAAAGCCACGGCUAACUACGUGCCAGCAGACGCGGUAAUACGUAGGUGGCAAGAGUUGUCCGGAAUUAUUGGGCGUAAAGCGCGCGCAGGCGGAUCUGCCAGUCUGUCUUAAAAGUGCGGGGCUUAACCCCGUGAUGGGAUGGAAACUACAGAUCUAAAGUAUCGGAGAGGAAAGUGGAAUUCCUAGUGUAGCGGUGAAAUGCGUAGAUAUUAGGAAGAACACCAGUGGCGAAGGCGACUUUCUGGACGAAAACUGACGCUGAGGCGCGAAAGCCAGGGGAGCGAACGGGAUUAGAAACCCGGGUAGUCC